UACGUGCUGUGUAAAACUUGAGGG
Molecule: non-coding RNA, 24 nt
Filed under: Mus musculus (house mouse)
Lineage: Eukaryota; Metazoa; Chordata; Mammalia; Rodentia; Muridae
Source: RNAcentral